Molecule: ribosomal RNA, 342 nt
Filed under: Aplosonyx ancora ancora
Lineage: Eukaryota; Metazoa; Arthropoda; Insecta; Coleoptera; Chrysomelidae
Description: eukaryotic LSU rRNA
Source: RNAcentral
AACGUUCGUAUGACGGAUACGUAGUCUUCGGGGCUUCUGCGUCUUACGUUUAUCGAAUCGAUGCCGAACGCGUGCACUUUUCCUCUAGUAGGACGUCGCGAUCCGUUGGGUGUCUGUCUAAGACUCGAGGUGGAGCCCAUGCGAUUUUCGCGAUCGUGUGGACCCUCGAUGAUGUUUUCCGACAGACUCGCUCGACGGUAUACUAAUGGCGCGAGGCCGCUACCUUAGUUAGCGUUCGGCCCGUAGCAAGCACGUUCUGCGUUUGACAGCGAUCGGACCUAGUGCCGAUUCUGUUCCGGAACGACUGUUGGUUACGGUGUUUAAUCUCUCGAACAGACCUCG